Molecule: unclassified non-coding RNA, 247 nt
Filed under: uncultured Lasiosphaeriaceae
Lineage: Eukaryota; Fungi; Ascomycota; Sordariomycetes; Sordariales; Lasiosphaeriaceae
Description: sequence contains ITS2
Source: RNAcentral
AACGCACAUUGCGCCCGCUAGUAUUCUGGCGGGCAUGCCUGUUCGAGCGUCAUUUCAACCAUCAAGCGCCUGCGCUUGUGUUGGAGCCCUGCGGCUGCCGCAGGCUCCCAAACCCAGUGGCGGGCUCGUCGUCGUACCGAGUGCAGUAAACUUACCACGCUCAGGGCGCGCGACGGGUGACCGGCCGUAAAACCCCCCCUAUAUCAAGGUUGACCUCGGAUCAGGUAGGAAUACCCGCUGAACUUAA